RNAcentral lists this ribosomal RNA (482 nucleotides) under uncultured bacterium. Its description in RNAcentral is "partial 16S ribosomal RNA". It matches the Rfam family "Bacterial small subunit ribosomal RNA", at positions 29 to 507 of the family's 1533-position model. The record is from RNAcentral.
AUUGAACGCUGGCGGCAUGCUUUACACAUGCAAGUCGAACGGUAACAGGCCGCAAGGUGCUGACGAGUGGAGAACGGGUGAGUAAUGCAUCGGAACGUGCCCAGUCGUGGGGGAUAACUACUCGAAAGAGUAGCUAAUACCGCAUACGAUCUAUGGAUGAAAGCGGGGGACCGUAAGGCCUCGCGCGAUUGGAGCGGCCGAUGUCAGAUUAGGUAGUUGGGGGGGUAAAGGCUCACCAAGCCAACGAUCUGUAGCUGGUCUGAGAGGACGAACAGCCACGCUGGGACUGAGAAACGGCCCAGACUCCUACGGGAGGCAGCAGUGGGGAAUUUUGGACAAGGGGCGAAAGCCUGAUCCAGCAAUGCCGCGUGCAGGAAGAAGGCCUUCGGGUUGUAAACUGAUGUUGUACGGAACGAAACGGCUCUGGUUAAUACCCGGGGCUAAUGACGGUACCGUAAGAAUAAGCACCGGCUAACUACGUG